UGGCAAAUUGAUUAAUGAGGACAUUACUCAAUAUGCCUGGUUGUACAGCAUGUCCAAUAACAUUGUGUUGAUGGGGAGUUGGGUAAAAAUAUCCAGGAAUUUACUACCAGUGGUGUGACCACUUGUUUGCUGAAAACAUUAAAGAGGGAAAUAUGGGGAGCAGCUCCCUUGAAGAAUUCCAUAACCAGCCUCUUCCCCCGCCAGCAAACUGCCUCUUCUAAGCUGGGCGACAGCACAGGUGGAAACAAGAGAGCAGCCGUUUGGUUGGUGGGAGCCUGAGCUGCCCUGCCCGAACCUGGAGAUACUGCACAGAAAACUAUCUAGAGGCUGGAGCUGAAAUGUGAAGUAAAUCUGUAAAAUUCAAAAUGACAUCCAUGUACUCCUGGUAAAAAGUGGAAGGAAUGGGUUGCUACUUGUGUUUUGAAGCUCAUCAUUGUGAGAGCAGCACGGGAGUGAGGAAUGGCUGCAGUACUGAACUCUUUAAGACAUGAAGACAUGACUUCACUGCAUAUAAAAUGAGUCCUGUAACAAAACUGGCCAGAAAAGAAAAUCUUUAAAUGACUUGGACACGUUUAUGAGUGGCAGAAACAGAAAUGGUGACUCAGCGGAGCAAUGCUACCUAAAUUUUUAGGACAAUCAUGCUGUUCUACUAAAGGACUGUGUGGGUGACAAAUACCAUUAGCACAGUCAGAUUCCAUGUGGCCAUACCUGCAUUCCUCUGAGAUAAAUUUCACGCAAGUAGUUUUGGAAACUAAGUGAUUUACUAAUACUAAUAUUGUAUUUUAUCUCACAAAUGAUGAGGUGCUAUACCAUUCAAGUAACAUCGUGUUGACUAAAGAAGACUGACAUUAACUACUUUCAGACUUGAAUGUUUUUGGAACAAUUCUAUGUAUAAGAAGGUUAUAAAAAGGUUUAAAGCUGUAUCAAGGAAUGGAAGACUUCUUAUGCAGGUGAGGAAGGAAUUGAAAGGAAUUGAAAAUAAAUGGAGCUAUGUCUACAAUAAAUGAAGAUAUAUGUCCAAAAAUAAAUGAAAAUACGUGACACCAAAUGGAAAAAUCAGACUAUCCAUAAUGUUAAAAGUAACGCCAAUGGAGCUCCCAUUGUGGCUCAGUGGGUUAAGAACCUGACAUAGUGUCUGAGAGGACGCAGGUUCCAUCCCUGUCCUCACUCAGUGGG
Non-coding RNA from Sus scrofa (pig), 1176 nucleotides. Lineage: Eukaryota; Metazoa; Chordata; Mammalia; Artiodactyla; Suidae. The record is from RefSeq and is a predicted model, not a curated record.